Molecule: ribosomal RNA, 465 nt
Filed under: uncultured bacterium
Lineage: Bacteria
Description: partial 16S ribosomal RNA
Rfam family: Bacterial small subunit ribosomal RNA
Source: RNAcentral
GACGAACGCUGGCGGCGUGCUUAACACAUGCAAGUCGAACGGAAAGGCCCCUUUGGGGGUACUCGAGUGGCGAACGGGUGAGUAACACGUGAGUAACCUGCCCUUGACUUCGGGAUAACUUCAGGAAACUGGGGCUAAUACCGGAUAGGAAUCCUUGCUGCAUGGUGGGGGUUGGAAAGCUUCGGCGGUUUGGGAUGGACUCGCGGCUUAUCAGCUUGUUGGUGGGGUAGUGGCGUACCAAGGCUUUUACGGGUAGCCGGCCUGAGAGGGCGACCGGCCACAUUGGGACUGAGAUACGGCCCAGACUCCUACGGGAGGCAGCAAUGGGGAAAAUUGCACAAUGGGCGGAAGCCUGAUGCAGCAACGCCGCGUGCGGGAUGACGGCCUUCGGGUUGUAAACCGCUUUCAGCAGGGGCGAAGCUUGUGGUGACGGUACCUGCAGAAGAAGCACCGGCUAACUACGUG